This 497-nucleotide ribosomal RNA is filed under the name uncultured bacterium. RNAcentral describes it as "partial 16S ribosomal RNA". It matches the Rfam family "Bacterial small subunit ribosomal RNA", at positions 28 to 507 of the family's 1533-position model. The record is from RNAcentral.
GAUGAACGCUGGCGGCGUGCCUAAUACAUGCGAGUCGAGCGAACAGACGAGGAGCUUGCUCCUCUGACGUUAGCGGCGGACGGGUGAGUAACACGUGGAUAACCUACCUAUAAGACUGGGAUAACUGCGGGAAACCGGAGCUAAUACCGGAUAAUAUAUUGAACCGCAUGGUUCAAUAGUGAAAGACGGUUUUGCUGUCACUAAUAGAUGGAUCCGCGCCGCAUUAGCUAGUUGGUAAGGUAACGGCUUACCAAGGCAACGAUGCGUAGCCGACCUGAGAGGGUGAUCGGUCACACUGGAACUGAGACACGGUCCAGACUCCUACGGGAGGCAGCAGUAGGGAAUCUUCCGCAAUGGGCGAAAGCCUGACGGAGCAACGCCGCGUGAAUGAUGAAGGUCUUCGGAUCGUAAAACUCUGUUAUUAGGGAAGAACAAAUGUGUAAGUAACUAUGCACGUCUUGACGGUACCUAAUCAGAAAGCCACGGCUAACUACGUG